UAGGGAAUAUUGCAAAAUGGGCGAAAGCCCGAUGCAGCAACGCCGCGUGGGCGAUGAAGGCCUUCGGGUCGUAAAGCCCUUUUUGAGGGGAUGAGGAAGGACAGUACCCUCAGAAUAAGCCUCGGCUAACUACGUGCCAGCAGCCGCGGUAAAACGUAGGAGGCGAGCGUUAUCCGGAUUUACUGGGCGUAAAGCGCGUGCAGGCGGAUUGGAGAGUUGGAUGUGAAAGCUCCCGGCUUAACUGGGAGAGGUCGUUCAAUACUUCCAGUCUUGAGUGCAGUAGAGGGAAGUGGAAUUCCGGGUGUAGUGGUGAAAUGCGUAGAUAUCCGGAGGAGCACCAGUGGCGAAAGCGGCUUCCUGGACUGUAACUGACGCUCAGACGCGAAAGCUAGGGUAGCAAACG
RNAcentral lists this ribosomal RNA (403 nucleotides) under uncultured bacterium. Its description in RNAcentral is "bacterial SSU rRNA". It matches the Rfam family "Bacterial small subunit ribosomal RNA", at positions 355 to 774 of the family's 1533-position model. The record is from RNAcentral.